AUUGAACGCUGGCGGCAGGCUUAACACAUGCAAGUCGAGCGGAGUGAUGGUGCUUGCACUAUCACUUAGCGGCGGACGGGUGAGUAAUGCUUAGGAAUCUGCCUAUUAGUGGGGGACAACAUCUCGAAAGGGAUGCUAAUACCGCAUACGUCCUACGGGAGAAAGCAGGGGAUCACUUGUGACCUUGCGCUAAUAGAUGAGCCUAAGUCGGAUUAGCUAGUUGGUGGGGUAAAGGCCUACCAAGGCGACGAUCUGUAGCGGGUCUGAGAGGAUGAUCCGCCACACUGGGACUGAGACACGGCCCAGACUCCUACGGGAGGCAGCAGUGGGGAAUAUUGGACAAUGGGGGGAACCCUGAUCCAGCCACGCCGCGUGUGCGAAGAAGGCCUUAUGGUUGUAAAGCACUUUAAGCGAGGAGGAGGCUCUUUUGGUUAAUACCCAAGAUGAGUGGACGUUACUCGCAGAAUAAGCACCGGCUAACUCUGUGCCAGCAGCCGCCGUAA
This 503-nucleotide ribosomal RNA is filed under the name uncultured bacterium. RNAcentral's name for it is "partial 16S ribosomal RNA". It matches the Rfam family "Bacterial small subunit ribosomal RNA", at positions 30 to 523 of the family's 1533-position model. The record is from RNAcentral.